RNAcentral lists this transfer RNA (59 nucleotides) under Calisoga longitarsis. RNAcentral's name for it is "tRNA-Ala". The record is from RNAcentral. Lineage: Eukaryota; Metazoa; Arthropoda; Arachnida; Araneae; Nemesiidae.
AAGAAGGAUAAAGUUGUAAGAUUGAUUUGCACUCAACUGUUAUGACGUUGUCAUGCUUU